This is a long non-coding RNA of Physeter macrocephalus (sperm whale), 541 nucleotides long. RefSeq lists it as uncharacterized. The record is from RefSeq and is a predicted model, not a curated record. The transcript has 5 exons. NCBI's taxonomy places the organism in Eukaryota, Metazoa, Chordata, Mammalia, Artiodactyla, Physeteridae.
GCCGGAAGUCUGGGGACGCGCCCUAGAGGCGCGGACCAGGUGCAGCUGGCGGUAGACAGGUCUCGGCGCCAGAUCCAGCUUCCUAGAGGAGCCGUGUCUCCUGCAGCUUUGGGUGCCACCUGUUGUGCCAGGCGCACGCCGCUGAACACGAGGAGAUGCCGUUUGGAUUCUCCGUGAAUGUUCGGAGGAGGAAUACCAGAGGUGCCGGCUGAAAACUAUCCAAACAAAAGAAAUAUGUAGGCUGGGGACCCUGAAUCACCUCCCCCAGGAUGGACUUUCUGGUUCUCUUCUUGUUCUACUUGGCUUUUGUGCUGAUUGGUGUUGUUAUGAUCUGCAUCUGCUCGAACACCCAUUGCUUGAAAGGCCUGGUCAGAAGAGGAGUACAGAUAAUUUCUUAUAUAAUUCCAGAAUGCCUUCGGAGAGCCAUGCUAAGAUUGCUUCAUUACCUCUUCCAUACACGAAACCACACUUUUGUUAUCCUGCAUCUCAUCUUGCAAGGGAUGGUUUAUACUGAAUACACCUGGGAAAUAUUUGGCCUCUG